GUAGGUGGCAAGCGUUGUCCGGAAUUAUUGGGCGUAAAGCGCGCGCAGGCGGUUCUUUAAGUCUGAUGUGAAAGCCCACGGCUCAACCGUGGAGGGUCAUUGGAAACUGGAGAACUUGAGUACAGAAGAGGAAAGCGGAAUUCCACGUGUAGCGGUGAAAUGCGUAGAGAUGUGGAGGAACACCAGUGGCGAAGGCGGCUUUCUGGUCUGUAACUGACGCUGAGGCGCGAAAGCGUGGGGAGCAAACAGGAUUAGAUACCCUGGUAGUCCACGCCGUAAACGAUGAGUGCUAAGUGUUAGGGGGUUUCCGCCCCCCUUAGUGCUGCAGCUAACGCAUUAGCACUCCGCCUGGGAUACGGCCGCAAGGCUG
This 370-nucleotide ribosomal RNA is filed under the name uncultured organism. Its description in RNAcentral is "partial 16S ribosomal RNA". It matches the Rfam family "Bacterial small subunit ribosomal RNA", at positions 527 to 896 of the family's 1533-position model. The record is from RNAcentral.